GAAUAUUGGGCAAUGGGCGGAAGCCUGACCCAGCCAUGCCGCGUGCAGGAAGACGGCGUUAUGCGUUGUAAACUGCUUUUAUACGGGAAGAAAAGGUCCAUGCGUGGAAAAUUGCCGGUACCGUAUGAAUAAGCACCGGCUAACUCCGUGCCAGCAGCCGCGGUAAUACGGAGGGUGCGAGCGUUGUCCGGAUUUAUUGGGUUUAAAGGGUGCGUAGGCGGCCCGAUAAGUCAGCGGUGAAAGUCAGUGGCUCAACCAUUGGAGUGCCGUUGAUACUGUUGGGCUUGAGUGCGGUCUGGGUACAUGGAAUUUAUGGUGUAGCGGUGAAAUGCAUAGAUACCAUAAGGAACACCGAUAGCGUAGGCAUUGUACUGGGCCGUAACUGACGCUGAGGCACGAAAGCGUGGGUAGCGAACAGG
Molecule: ribosomal RNA, 419 nt
Filed under: uncultured bacterium
Lineage: Bacteria
Description: bacterial SSU rRNA
Rfam family: Bacterial small subunit ribosomal RNA
Source: RNAcentral